GGCCUGGUGGUCUAGUCGUAUGAUUCCUCCUUUGGGUGUUUGUACUUGAUUGGAGGAGGUCCUGGGUUCAAUUCCCGGUCAGGCCC
Phlegmacium glaucopus is the source of this 86-nucleotide non-coding RNA. The record is from the annotation of a GenBank genome assembly. Lineage: Eukaryota; Fungi; Basidiomycota; Agaricomycetes; Agaricales; Cortinariaceae.